This 520-nucleotide ribosomal RNA is filed under the name uncultured Glomus. RNAcentral describes it as "SSU rRNA". It matches the Rfam family "Eukaryotic small subunit ribosomal RNA", at positions 569 to 1092 of the family's 1831-position model. Lineage: Eukaryota; Fungi; Glomeromycota; Glomeromycetes; Glomerales; Glomeraceae. The record is from RNAcentral.
AGCAGCCGCGGUAAUUCCAGCUCCAAUAGCGUAUAUUAAAGUUGCUGCAGUUAAAAAGCUCGUAGUUGAAUUUCGGGACCAUCAUGUCGGUCGUGCCUCGGUACGUACUGGUAUUGUUGGUUUCUCCCUUCUGACGAACCAUGAUGUCAUUUAUUUGGUGUUGUGGGGAAUCAGGACUGUUACUUUGAAAAAAUUAGAGUGUUUAAAGCAGGCUCACGCUUGAAUACAUUAGCAUGGAAUAAUGAAAUAGGACGUUUGAUUCUAUUUUGUUGGUUUCUAGGAUCGACGUAGUGAUUAAUAGGGAUAGUUGGGGGCAUUAGUAUUCAAUUGUCAGAGGUGAAAUUCUUGGAUUUAUUGAAGACUAACUACUGCGAAAGCAUUUGCCAAGGAUGUUUUCAUUAAUCAAGAACGAAAGUUAGGGGAUCGAAGACGAUCAGAUACCGUCGUAGUCUUAACCAUAAACUAUGCCGACUAGGGAUCGGAUGAUGUUAAUUUUUAAUGACUCAUUCGGCGCCUUAAC